AAAUUGAAGAGUUUGAUCAUGGCUCAGAUUGAACGCUGGCGGCAGGCCUAACACAUGCAAGUCGAACGGUAGCACAGAGAGCUUGCUCUCGGGUGACGAGUGGCGGACGGGUGAGUAAUGUCUGGGAAACUGCCUGAUGGAGGGGGAUAACUACUGGAAACGGUGGCUAAUACCGCAUAACGUCGCAAGACCAAAGAGGGGGACCUUCGGGCCUCUUGCCAUCAGAUGUGCCCAGAUGGGAUUAGCUUGUUGGUGAGGUAACGGCUCACCAAGGCGACGAUCCCUAGCUGGUCUGAGAGGAUGACCAGCCACACUGGAACUGAGACACGGUCCAGACUCCUACGGGAGGCAGCAGUGGGGAAUAUUGCA
Molecule: ribosomal RNA, 369 nt
Filed under: Salmonella enterica subsp. enterica serovar Infantis
Lineage: Bacteria; Pseudomonadati; Pseudomonadota; Gammaproteobacteria; Enterobacterales; Enterobacteriaceae
Also listed under: 1 other name
Description: bacterial SSU rRNA
Rfam family: Bacterial small subunit ribosomal RNA
Source: RNAcentral